CAGUCGCCGCGGUAAUACGAAGGGUGCAAGCGUUACUCGGAAUUACUGGGCGUAAAGCGUGCGUAGGUGGUGGUUUAAGUCCGUUGUGAAAGCCCUGGGCUCAACCUGGGAAUGGCAAUGGAUACUGGCAAGCUAGAGUGUGUCAGAGGAUGGUGGAAUUCCCGGUGUAGCGGUGAAAUGCGUAGAGAUCGGGAGGAACAUCAGUGGCGAAGGCGGCCAUCUGGGACAACACUGACACUGAGGCACGAAAGCGUGGGGAGCAAACAGGAUUAGAUACCCGAGUAGCCCUGUCUCUUAUACA
This 301-nucleotide ribosomal RNA is filed under the name uncultured bacterium. Its description in RNAcentral is "partial 16S ribosomal RNA". It matches the Rfam family "Bacterial small subunit ribosomal RNA", at positions 509 to 809 of the family's 1533-position model. The record is from RNAcentral.